Molecule: small RNA, 432 nt
Filed under: Pan troglodytes (chimpanzee)
Lineage: Eukaryota; Metazoa; Chordata; Mammalia; Primates; Hominidae
Description: retained intron
Source: RNAcentral
AAUUUUUAGGACAGCCAUAUUUUGAAGCCUUUAAGAAAAAAAUGCCUACAGCUUUUGCAGCUAAAGGAAUAAAUAAAUUGCUAAAUAAACUGUUUUUAAUAAAUGAGCAGUCACCAAGAGCCAGUGAAGAAACCUUACUUGGAAUUUCAAAAAAAGCUAAACAAAUGAAGAUCAAUGUACAGAAUAACGUGGAUCUUGGACAGCCAGUAAAGAAUAAGAGAGUCUUCAAAGAAAAGUCAUCAGAAUUUGAUGUGAGGGCUUUCUGCAACCAGCUGAAACACAAAGCUACUCAGGUUUGUCUGGCUUCAUUAAAUUUAGCUUAUGAUUUCUGCUAAUUUGUAGAGGAUGCUUCUUACCAAGGGCAGAGAUUGAAUCUUUUCAUUUUAUCCCCAGCUCUAAGCUUAGUGCCUUCUUAGUUGUCAGUGUGUGCUU